RNAcentral lists this ribosomal RNA (253 nucleotides) under uncultured prokaryote. Its description in RNAcentral is "partial 16S ribosomal RNA". It matches the Rfam family "Bacterial small subunit ribosomal RNA", at positions 524 to 776 of the family's 1533-position model. The record is from RNAcentral.
UACGUAGGGGGCAAGCGUUGUCCGGAUUUAUUGGGCGUAAAGAGCGUGUAGGCGGCCACACAGGUCAGCUGUGAAAACUCGAGGCUCAACCUCGAGACGUCGGUUGAAACCGUAUGGCUAGAGUCCGGAAGAGGAGACUGGAAUUCCUGGUGUAGCAGUGAAAUGCGUAGAUAUCAGGAGGAAUACCGAUGGCGAAGGCAGGUCUCUGGGCUGACACUGACGCUCAUGCACGAAAGCGUGGGGAGCAAACAGG